AGAGUUUGAUCCUGGCUCAGGAUGAACGCUAGCGGUGUGCCUAAUGCAUGCAAGUCGAACGGGAACCUUUGGAUUCGUCUGAAGGGGAGAGUGGCGGACGGGUGAGUAACGCGUUGGUGACCUGCCCCAGAGAGGGGGACAACCAUUGGAAACGAUGGCUAAUACCCCAGAUGUCAUUGUGUUUAGAAAGCAAUGACUAAAGCUCCGGCGCUCUGGGAGGGGCCUGCGUCCCAUCAGCUUGUUGGUAAGGUAAUGGCUCACCAAGGCUAAGACGGGUAGGGGACGUGAGAGCGUGACCCCCCACACUGGUACUGAAACACGGACCAGAUACCUACGGGUAGCAGCAGCAAGGAAUAUUGCCCAAUGGACGAAAGUCUGAGGCAGCAACACCGCGUGGAGGACGAAGGCCUUCGGGUCGUAAACUCCUUUUCUGGGGGAAGAGAACGGACGGUACCCCAGGAAUAAGGCCCGGCUAACUACGUGCCAGCAGCCGCGGUAAAACGUAGGGGUCGAGCGUUAUCCGGAUUUACUGGGCGUAAAGAGCAUGUAGGCGGUUGCUUAAGUCGGACGUGAAAGCUCCUGGCUCAACUAGGAGAGGCCGUUCGAAACUGAGCAACUCGAGGAUGGUAGAGGAGAGUGGAAUUCCCGGUGUAGUGGUGAAAUGCGUAGAUAUCGGGAGGAACACCAGUGGCGAAGGCGGCUCUCUGGGCCAUUCCUGACGCUGAGAUGCGAAAGCUAGGGGAGAGAACGGGAUUAGAAACCCCGGUAUUCCUAGCCGUAAACGAUGUCAACUAGGUGUAGGAGGUAUUGACCCCUUCUGUGCUGCAGCAAACGCGUUAAGUUGACCGCCUGGGGACUACGGCCGCAAGGCU
RNAcentral lists this ribosomal RNA (872 nucleotides) under uncultured Chloroflexota bacterium. RNAcentral describes it as "bacterial SSU rRNA". It matches the Rfam family "Bacterial small subunit ribosomal RNA", at positions 8 to 895 of the family's 1533-position model. The record is from RNAcentral. Lineage: Bacteria; Bacillati; Chloroflexota.